This is an RNA transcript of Rosa chinensis, 1696 nucleotides long. It is a transcript of the gene named splicing factor U2af small subunit B, with no coding region annotated. The transcript is spliced from 4 exons. The record is from RefSeq and is a predicted model, not a curated record. Lineage: Eukaryota; Viridiplantae; Streptophyta; Magnoliopsida; Rosales; Rosaceae.
AUAUAAAGUUGCCGUUGAUCCUGCUACUUGCUACCUUCACAGCAAUUGGAAGUUGCAAUUCCAAUUGAAUUGAGUUAAGAGUUGGGGCUCACUCGACGACGGAGAGAGAAGAGUAGCGAUGGCGGAGCACUUGGCUUCGAUAUUCGGGACCGAGAAGGACCGGGUGAACUGCCCGUUCUAUUUCAAGAUCGGCGCGUGCCGUCACGGCGACCGGUGCUCCCGUCUCCACAACCGGCCGACGAUCAGCCCGACUCUGCUCCUCUCCAACAUGUACCAGCGCCCCGACAUGAUCACCCCCGGCGUCGACCCCCAGGGCCAGCCCAUCGACCCCCGCAAGAUCCAGGACCAUUUCGAGGACUUCUACGAGGACAUCUUCGAGGAGCUCGACAAGUUCGGCGAGAUCGAGAGCCUCAACGUCUGCGACAAUCUCGCCGAUCACAUGAUCGGCAACGUCUACGUCCAGUUCAAGGAGGAGGACCAGGCCGCCGCCGCCCUCCAGGCCUUGCAAGGGAGGUUCUAUAACGGCCGCCCGAUUAUCGCCGACUUCUCUCCGGUGACGGAUUUCCGGGAAGCCACGUGUCGCCAGUUCGAGGAGAACAACUGCAAUCGAGGCGGCUACUGUAAUUUUAUGCACGUCAAGCUGAUUGGGAGGGAAUUGAGGAGGAAGCUGUAUGGGAGGUACCGCGGGUAUAGGGCUAGCCGGAGCCGGAGCCGGAGUUUGAGCCCGCGGCACCGGAGGGAUAGGGAUAGGGAUUAUGAUAAACGGGACCACCGGGACAGAGAUUAUAGAGGGAAUGGGAGGAGAAGCAAGGAUAGGUAUGACAGGGACAGAGACAGUGGGAGGAGAAGACAUAGCAGUCCCAGGCGGAGCAGAACCAGGAGCAGGAGCCCCGUGGCGGCAGCAGUGAGGGAAGGGAGCGAAGAACGCCGAGCUAGGAUUGAGCAGUGGAAUCGAGAAAGGGAGGGGAAGCUGUGAUUGUGGCAUUGGAUUUCGUUGGGAUUUGCUGUUAGUGUAAAGCUCAUGUCGUGGAGAUUCUAGUUUUGAUGACUUCCACUGCUAUUGCAGGUUAGCUGAACAAGAAAACAGGUCAGAAACAGGAUACCUGACGAGUUGAUGAUUCUAUAACUAGCUAUGGUGUAGGCUGCCUCUAGGUGGUUCUCUGGCGCCCAUAGUUCUAAUGAAGGAUGAUCAAUGCGGUGGUAUGAAUGUAGUGAUGAUGCCAAACUUUAAUUUGUGUGUUAGUGACCUCUCCUUCAACCUUACUUGCCUAUAAACCCUUAGGGGUACCCUUUCUACCAGAACAUCUGAGUUCGGUGAAAAUAUGUCGACUUUGCAACCUUGACAGGUUGUUUAUUGGUGUUUGGUGCUAAAUUCUUUCCAUCUCCGAGACACCUCUGACUAAUUUGUCCUCUCUCUAUAUCAAGGAAUUGUUGGUGGCGUUUCUGAAGCUCCAUUGUAAAGAUAGGGUUUGCAACUACGAGGAUGUAGAUGCUGUAGUGGAUAAACCUAGAAAAUCAUUAUAGACGAUGAGUGCUAGUCAUUAGAUUCGUCUUAGAUGAUGGUGUGCAGAUACUGUUGGUGGCUCAAUAUUGUUGUUGGUAGUUAAUGUAAUUUAGUCUUUAAACCCUUGUAUGUGAGCUCUAUAUAUAUAGUGAUUUGUUUUGUGGAUUAUGGCAGUAGAUUGCGGACGAGAAA